CCCUUAGAUGUUCUGGGCCGCACGCGCGCUACACUGAUGCAUUCAACGAGUCUAAAACCUGGUCUGAUAGGGCUGGGUAAUCUUUUGAAAGUGCAUCGUGAUUGGGAUAGAUGAUUGCAAUUCUUCAUCUUCAACGAGGAAUGCCUAGUAAACGCAAGUCAUCAGCUUGCAUUGAUUACGUCCCUGCCCUUUGUACACACCGCCCGUCGCUCCUACCGAUUGAACGAUCCGAUGAAAACUGUGGAUUGAGAGUCUGAGUGGGUUCGCCUACCUCAACUUUCGAGAAGCGGUUUAAAUCUUAUCGUUUAGAGGAAGGAGAAGUCGUAACA
Molecule: ribosomal RNA, 329 nt
Filed under: uncultured eukaryote
Lineage: Eukaryota
Description: partial 18S ribosomal RNA
Rfam family: Eukaryotic small subunit ribosomal RNA
Source: RNAcentral